GAGUUUGAUCGUGGCUCAGGAUGAACGCUAGCGGCAGGCCUAAUACAUGCAAGUCGAGGGGCAGCGGGUGUAGCAAUACAUGCCGGCGACCGGCGCACGGGUGCGUAACACGUAUGUAAUCUACCUUUUACUGGAGAAUAGCCCGAAGAAAUUCGGAUUAAUACUCCAUAAUAUCAUUGGGGGCAUCUCUUGAUGAUUAAAGUUCCGACGGUAAAGAUGAGCAUGCGCGAUAUUAGCUAGUUGGUGAGGUAACGGCUCACCAAGGCGACGAUAUCUAGGGGUACUGAGAGGUUACACCCCCACACUGGUACUGAGACACGGACCAGACUCCUACGGGAGGCAGCAGUAAGGAAUAUUGGACAAUGGUCGCAAGACUGAUCCAGCCAUGCCGCGUGCAGGAUGACUGCCCUAUGGGUUGUAAACUGCCUUUUGUACGGGAAUAACCCGGGUACGUGUACCCCGGCUGAAUGUACCGUAAGAAUAAGGGUCGGCUAACUUCGUGCCA
This 505-nucleotide ribosomal RNA is filed under the name uncultured Flavobacterium sp. RNAcentral describes it as "bacterial SSU rRNA". It matches the Rfam family "Bacterial small subunit ribosomal RNA", at positions 9 to 510 of the family's 1533-position model. Lineage: Bacteria; Pseudomonadati; Bacteroidota; Flavobacteriia; Flavobacteriales; Flavobacteriaceae. The record is from RNAcentral.